UGGGGUAUCGCCAAGCGGUAAGGCACAAGACUUUGACUCUUGCAUGCGGUAGUUCGAAUCUACCUACCCCAGCCA
RNAcentral lists this transfer RNA (75 nucleotides) under Candidatus Onthoplasma faecipullorum. Its description in RNAcentral is "tRNA-Gln". It matches the Rfam family "tRNA". Rfam says of the family: Transfer RNA (tRNA) molecules are approximately 80 nucleotides in length. Their secondary structure includes four short double-helical elements and three loops (D, anti-codon, and T loops). Further hydrogen bonds mediate the characteristic L-shaped molecular structure. tRNAs have two regions of fundamental functional importance: the anti-codon, which is responsible for specific mRNA codon recognition, and the 3' end, to which the tRNAs corresponding amino acid is attached (by aminoacyl-tRNA synthetases). tRNAs cope with the degeneracy of the genetic code in two manners: having more than one tRNA (with a specific anti-codon) for a particular amino acid; and 'wobble' base-pairing, i.e. permitting non-standard base-pairing at the 3rd anti-codon position. The record is from RNAcentral. Lineage: Bacteria; Bacillati; Bacillota; Clostridia; Christensenellales; Christensenellaceae.